This is a non-coding RNA of Fukomys damarensis (Damara mole-rat), 72 nucleotides long. The record is from Rfam. Lineage: Eukaryota; Metazoa; Chordata; Mammalia; Rodentia; Bathyergidae.
GGAGAUGUAGCUCAGUGGUAGAUCACUUGCCUAGUAUGUGUGAGGUCCUGGGUUCAAUUCCCAGUAUCUCCA